Molecule: transfer RNA, 64 nt
Filed under: uncultured Holdemanella sp.
Lineage: Bacteria; Bacillati; Bacillota; Erysipelotrichia; Erysipelotrichales; Erysipelotrichaceae
Rfam family: tRNA
About the family: Transfer RNA (tRNA) molecules are approximately 80 nucleotides in length. Their secondary structure includes four short double-helical elements and three loops (D, anti-codon, and T loops).
Source: RNAcentral
AGUAGCUCAGUUGGAUAGAGCAUUCGCCUCCUAAGCGAAAGGUCGUAGGUUCGACUCCUAUCUG